This is a non-coding RNA of Callorhinus ursinus (northern fur seal), 409 nucleotides long. Lineage: Eukaryota; Metazoa; Chordata; Mammalia; Carnivora; Otariidae. The record is from RefSeq and is a predicted model, not a curated record.
CCAGAUUUCCGGGACGAGGGUGGGGAGCAAGGCUGAAGGCAGGGAGGCAGUGAAGUGGCCUUGAACCUCAACAGUCCAGCUAUGGGGGAGAGACGGAGGCAGUUACACUUUGUCUGGUUGCCAAGAGGAGAGAGAGGAUUGAAGAGAUCAAGAGAAAUUUAGGAGGUGAGGGUCACAAGAACAUAAGCUCUCUCCUGCACCCUACUCUCCAUCUAAGAACCUGCAAUCCAGAAACUCAACCUACAGCCACACUUCAGCCACUUACCAUGUUGUUACAAUUAUUGGUUCGCUGCCUGUCACUCAAUGGACGGGGUUUGCUUCUGAUGUAUUUCUGUAUUCUCAGGAUCUAGUCAAUAUCUGGCACUUAUGAACACCGAGCAAAUGCUUAUUGAAUAAAUUCAUUAAAACU